GAUGAACGCUGGCGGCGUGCCUAAUACAUGCAAGUCGAGCGAACGGACGAGAAGCUUGCUUCUCUGAUGUUAGCGGCGGACGGGUGAGUAACACGUGGAUAACCUACCUAUAAGACUGGGAUAACUUCGGGAAACCGGAGCUAAUACCGGAUAAUAUUUUGAACCGCAUGGUUCAAAAGUGAAAGACGGUCUUGCUGUCACUUAUAGAUGGAUCCGCGCUGCAUUAGCUAGUUGGUAAGGUAACGGCUUACCAAGGCAACGAUGCAUAGCCGACCUGAGAGGGUGAUCGGCCACACUGGAACUAAGCCACGGUCCAGACUCCUACGGGAGGCAGCAGUAGGGAAUCUUCCGAAAUGGGCGAAAGCCUGACGGAGCAACGCCGCGUGAGUGAUGAAGGUCUUCGGAUCGUAAAACUCUGUUAUUAGGGAAGAACAUAUGUGUAAGUAACUGUGCACAUCUUGACGGUACCUAAUCAGAAAGCCGCGGCUAACUACGUG
This 497-nucleotide ribosomal RNA is filed under the name uncultured bacterium. RNAcentral describes it as "partial 16S ribosomal RNA". It matches the Rfam family "Bacterial small subunit ribosomal RNA", at positions 28 to 507 of the family's 1533-position model. The record is from RNAcentral.